This 790-nucleotide ribosomal RNA is filed under the name Rhodococcus sp. An1y. Its description in RNAcentral is "bacterial SSU rRNA". It matches the Rfam family "Bacterial small subunit ribosomal RNA", at positions 69 to 874 of the family's 1533-position model. Lineage: Bacteria; Bacillati; Actinomycetota; Actinomycetes; Mycobacteriales; Nocardiaceae. The record is from RNAcentral.
GGAUGAACCUGUCGGGGUACACGAGCGGCGAACGGGUGAGUAACACGUGGGUGAUCUGCCCUGCACUUCGGGAUAAGCCUGGGAAACUGGGUCUAAUACCGGAUAUGACCUCCUAUCGCAUGGUGGGUGGUGGAAAGAUUUAUCGGUGCAGGAUGGGCCCGCGGCCUAUCAGCUUGUUGGUGGGGUAAUGGCCUACCAAGGCGACGACGGGUAGCCGACCUGAGAGGGUGACCGGCCACACUGGGACUGAGACACGGCCCAGACUCCUACGGGAGGCAGCAGUGGGGAAUAUUGCACAAUGGGCGAAAGCCUGAUGCAGCGACGCCGCGUGAGGGAUGACGGCCUUCGGGUUGUAAACCUCUUUCAGCAGGGACGAAGCGCAAGUGACGGUACCUGCAGAAGAAGCACCGGCUAACUACGUGCCAGCAGCCGCGGUAAUACGUAGGGUGCAAGCGUUGUCCGGAAUUACUGGGCGUAAAGAGUUCGUAGGCGGUUUGUCGCGUCGUUUGUGAAAACCAGCAGCUCAACUGCUGGCUUGCAGGCGAUACGGGCAGACUUGAGUACUGCAGGGGAGACUGGAAUUCCUGGUGUAGCGGUGAAAUGCGCAGAUAUCAGGAGGAACACCGGUGGCGAAGGCGGGUCUCUGGGCAGUAACUGACGCUGAGGAACGAAAGCGUGGGUAGCGAACAGGAUUAGAUACCCUGGUAGUCCACGCCGUAAACGGUGGGCGCUAGGUGUGGGUUCCUUCCACGGAAUCCGUGCCGUAGCUAACGCAUUAAGCGCCCCGCCU